This 877-nucleotide ribosomal RNA is filed under the name Diatrypaceae sp. SK-2019b. RNAcentral's name for it is "partial large subunit ribosomal RNA". It matches the Rfam family "Eukaryotic large subunit ribosomal RNA", at positions 37 to 938 of the family's 3401-position model. Lineage: Eukaryota; Fungi; Ascomycota; Sordariomycetes; Xylariales; Diatrypaceae. The record is from RNAcentral.
AGCAUAUCAAUAAGCGGAGGAAAAGAAACCAACAGGGAUUGCCCUAGUAACGGCGAGUGAAGCGGCAACAGCUCAAAUUUGAAAUCUGGCCCUCGGGUCCGAGUUGUAAUUUGUAGAGGAUGCUUUUGGUGCAGUGCCUUCCGAGUUCCUUGGAACAGGACGCCUUAGAGGGUGAGAGCCCCGUACGGUUGGACACUAAGCCUCUGUAAAGCUCCUUCGACGAGUCGAGUAGUUUGGGAAUGCUGCUCUAAAUGGGAGGUAAAUUUCUUCUAAAGCUAAAUACCGGCCAGAGACCGAUAGCGCACAAGUAGAGUGAUCGAAAGAUGAAAAGUACUUUGAAAAGAGGGUUAAAUAGCACGUGAAAUUGUUGAAAGGGAAGCGUUUAUGACCAGACCUUUGUCUGGCGGAUCAUCCGGUGUUCUUCACCGGUGCACUUCGCCAGGCUCAGGCCAGCAUCGAUUUCUGUAGGGGGAUAAAAACCAUGGGAACGUAGCUCUCUCCGGGGAGUGUUAUAGCCCUAGGUACAAUACCUUUACGGGGAUCGAGGUUCGCGCUUCUGCAAGGAUGCUGGCGUAAUGGUCAUCAACGACCCGUCUUGAAACACGGACCAAGGAGUCGAACAUUUAUGCGAGUGUUUGGGUGUUAAACCCUCACGCGUAAUGAAAGUGAACGGAGGUGAGAGCCCGUACGGGUGCAUCAUCGACCGAUCCUGAUGUCUUCGGAUGGAUUUGAGUAAGAGCAUAACUGUUCGGACCCGAAAGAUGGUGAACUAUGCGUGGAUAGGGUGAAGCCAGAGGAAACUCUGGUGGAGGCUCGCAGCGGUUCUGACGUGCAAAUCGAUCGUCAAAUCUGCGCAUGGGGGCGAAAGACUUAUCGA